GUAUUAGUGCGAAUGAGGCGACCACGCAAAGACAAGGAUGAAGAAGAAAUGAUAGUUCUGAAAAUUUCUAAUGAUUCUUUGACAAUCAACGAGAAAAAUUUUACAUUCGACUCGGUUGCAGAUUGAGGCAACGCACAUAUGUUCCAGCUUAUGGGAGCACCACUUGUUGAAAAUUGUAUGACAGUGUUCAACAUUUCCAUUUUUGCAUAUGGACAGACGGGAUUUGGGAAAUACUUGUAUGCCCGGCCAAAGCAUUGUUGGUUUGAAAGCAUUUCUAUCAAUCAACAAGGUUUAACUCCUCAAGUUUUUGAGCGUCUCUUUGUUCGUAUA
This is a long non-coding RNA of Morus notabilis, 330 nucleotides long. RefSeq lists it as uncharacterized. Lineage: Eukaryota; Viridiplantae; Streptophyta; Magnoliopsida; Rosales; Moraceae. The transcript has 3 exons. The record is from RefSeq and is a predicted model, not a curated record.